RNAcentral lists this ribosomal RNA (484 nucleotides) under uncultured Burkholderia sp. RNAcentral describes it as "bacterial SSU rRNA". It matches the Rfam family "Bacterial small subunit ribosomal RNA", at positions 887 to 1375 of the family's 1533-position model. Lineage: Bacteria; Pseudomonadati; Pseudomonadota; Betaproteobacteria; Burkholderiales; Burkholderiaceae. The record is from RNAcentral.
CGCAAGAUUAAAACUCAAAGGAAUUGACGGGGACCCGCACAAGCGGUGGAUGAUGUGGAUUAAUUCGAUCCAACGCGAAAAACCUUACCUACCCUUGACAUGUAUGGAAUCCUGCUGAGAGGUGGGAGUGCCCGAAAGGGAGCCAUAACACAGGUGCUGCAUGGCUGUCGUCAGCUCGUGUCGUGAGAUGUUGGGUUAAGUCCCGCAACGAGCGCAACCCUUGUCCCUAGUUGCUACGCAAGAGCACUCUAGGGAGACUGCCGGUGACAAACCGGAGGAAGGUGGGGAUGACGUCAAGUCCUCAUGGCCCUUAUGGGUAGGGCUUCACACGUCAUACAAUGGUCGGAACAGAGGGUUGCCAAGCCGCGAGGUGGAGCCAAUCCCAGAAAACCGAUCGUAGUCCGGAUCGCACUCUGCAACUCGAGUGCGUGAAGCUGGAAUCGCUAGUAAUCGCGGAUCAGCAUGCCGCGGUGAAUACGUUCCC